RNAcentral lists this ribosomal RNA (253 nucleotides) under uncultured bacterium. RNAcentral's name for it is "partial 16S ribosomal RNA". It matches the Rfam family "Bacterial small subunit ribosomal RNA", at positions 524 to 776 of the family's 1533-position model. The record is from RNAcentral.
UACGAAGGGGGCUAGCGUUGUUCGGAAUUACUGGGCGUAAAGCGCACGUAGGCGGAUCGAUCAGUCAGGGGUGAAAUCCCAGGGCUCAACCCUGGAACUGCCUUUGAUACUGUCGAUCUGGAGUAUGGAAGAGGUGAGUGGAAUUCCGAGUGUAGAGGUGAAAUUCGUAGAUAUCGGGAGGAACACCAGUGGCGAAGGCGGCGACCUGGGCCAAUAUUGACGCUGAGGUGCGAAAGCGUGGGGAGCAAACAGG